Molecule: non-coding RNA, 1399 nt
Organism: Pocillopora verrucosa
Lineage: Eukaryota; Metazoa; Cnidaria; Anthozoa; Scleractinia; Pocilloporidae
Source: RefSeq, a predicted model, not a curated record
UGCCUCAGUAGAGUUGGAUAUCCAGGAGGAAUAUCUCACCAGAAACCUUGUAUGGCUGGCUGGAGACAAUUUUAUGGUGCUGAAUCUCUUGCCUUAAACUAACAAGGUGCAGAAUAAUCACUCUGACAUAUGCAUUGAAUGAAGUUGUGACCAUUUUGGAGCAACCUGUGCAGAACGCUUAAUGUCAAGCCCAGCCACUAACCUAUCCAAGGAUGGGUUGCAAAUGGCUCUGUGUGGAAAGCUCUAGGAGUGGGGAGGGUAUGUUAUUGGACCCCUUGUCUAACUGGCAGUUUUCUUUGAGGCUGGAAUGGGCUUGUGGUCAAGUGUCAAAAGCAUGCCUUUGUGGGAGAGGGGGCUCUAUUGACAUUGCAAAAACCUGAUGUCUAGGUUGUUGCCUUAAGGGUUAGAAGGCUGUCCAGUGAAACUGAGGGCUGACUGUGAAACAGAAAAUGGUGUAAUGGCAGCUCUACAGUGUACAUUUCAACAAGAUGCAGAAGUGCACAAGUAUGGGUCAUCUCCAGUGAAACAAAGGAUUGAGGGCUGAAACCUUCAGUUACCUUCAGGUCUUCAGUCUCGCAGGACACCAUGUGUUGCAUGACAUUCCAAAUAACUACUGCACAGGAGUCAACAGACAUGCCACACUGAUGCUCUCUUCUCAGAGGCAGCCCAAGUGAGGCCUAUACCCUGACAUUAGGCAAUGAAGAUCUGUCUAUGUACUGUUCCAAGAAUGGGGAAGAGUUCGGAGACAGCAUUGGUGGAGGAUGGAUGCUGGUCAUGAAGAUCAAUGACAAACAGGAAACCUUCAGUUACCUUCAGGUCUUCAGUCUCUCAAAAAUGGAGUCACCAGAUUGGAUCACUUGGAGACCCUGUUUCCAACCUACUGAAGCACUUCCUUCACCAAGAUAUACCAUGGCAUGAAGGUUGAUGGGGUAACCAGGCUCUUGCAAUUGGGUCAAGAAGCAGCCCCACAGUAUGCUCUCAGCGCUGAUGGUCAAUACCAUGCUACCUCCCUAGAUUGGGAUGCAUGGAAUAGGCUGAUUGUCCUGAUGCCUCUCUGCAGCGAUGAUGCAAUCAUGAAGGGUUCAAUUCACAUGUAACGAGUAAUGGAUUCAGCAGGGUACGAAUGGGUGUCAAUGGCAAUGAACAAGAUGAUUGCAGUUCCCAUGAUUCCAGAAUCGGAUCUGGUGAAGGAGGAUCAAGAUAUGAAAACACGUGUGGAAACAGAGCUUUGUGGUGUGCAGACAACAGAGACAAAAAUAUCAAGGAAUUUGGAUACAUCUUCAUUCAAUAACGACACUGAACAACUCUACUCAAGGGAAACGCUGCAUGCAACAUAAAGCAAUGAUUAUGCUCUAAUUUCAGUAUUGGGGAUUUUAAAAUGUGAGUUUUUGCUUUAGCU